UCCUACGGGAGGCAGCAGUGAGGAAUAUUGGUCAAUGGGCGAGAGCCUGAACCAGCCAAGUCGCGUGAGGGAAGACGGUCCUAUGGAUUGUAAACCUCUUUUGUCGGGGAGCAACGGGGCAGUGUUGUGCCCUCUGAGAGUACCCGAAGAAAAAGCAUCGGCUAACUCCGUGCCAGCAGCCGCGGUAAUACGGAGGAUGCGAGCGUUAUCCGGAUUUAUUGGGUUUAAAGGGUGCGUAGGCCGAAGAUUAAGUCAGUGGUAAAAUUGCGGGGCUCAACCUCGUAUCGCCAUUGAAACUGGUUUUU
This 305-nucleotide ribosomal RNA is filed under the name uncultured bacterium. RNAcentral describes it as "bacterial SSU rRNA". It matches the Rfam family "Bacterial small subunit ribosomal RNA", at positions 337 to 641 of the family's 1533-position model. The record is from RNAcentral.